GACAGAGGCCUCGAGCGUUAGGCGGAAUCACUGGGUUUAAAGCGUGUGUAGGCGGAUCGUUAAGUACCUUGUGAAAUCCCACGGCUCAACCGUGGAACGGCUGGGUAUACUGGCGGUCUUGGGCCAUUCAGGGGCGACUGGAACAAGCGGUGGAGCGGUGAAAUGCGUAGAUAUCGUAAGGAAGACCAGUGGCGAAGGCGGGUCUCUGGACAGUUCCUGACGCUGAGGCACGAAGGCCAGGGGAGCAAACGGG
RNAcentral lists this ribosomal RNA (253 nucleotides) under uncultured bacterium. RNAcentral's name for it is "partial 16S ribosomal RNA". It matches the Rfam family "Bacterial small subunit ribosomal RNA", at positions 524 to 776 of the family's 1533-position model. The record is from RNAcentral.